RNAcentral lists this long non-coding RNA (232 nucleotides) under Rattus norvegicus (Norway rat). RNAcentral's name for it is "long non-coding RNA NONRATT031345". The record is from RNAcentral. Lineage: Eukaryota; Metazoa; Chordata; Mammalia; Rodentia; Muridae.
CUGCAGACCGAGGAGGAAAACCUGUCGGCAUUAUGGAGGGACAAGCGGGAAGCUUUGAGCAGACACUGGUUCACCGGCAACACUUUGAGGACCACUGCACUAUUCUAGACCUUAACAUGACAGAGAUCAGACAUGACUUGGAUAAAAGACAGUAAGGCUGUGACCGCUGAAACUCCGGGGCAAAGGUGAGGCACUGUAGGUUAUAGUUACUGAUGGAAACUAAAAAGAAAGC